RNAcentral lists this ribosomal RNA (404 nucleotides) under uncultured prokaryote. RNAcentral describes it as "partial 16S ribosomal RNA". The record is from RNAcentral.
CCCUAUGGGGUGCCAGGAGUGGGAUUUCAGCUUGGCCGGCGUGGAGUGGUCCCCGGUGAUAAUCAGGGUAUCCGGGUUCAAGGCCAGGAUGCGCGGCAGAAGCUGAUCGACCUCUUCGAUGAUGUGGACCUUUCCCUCAAAAUUGCCGUCUUCGCCGUAGCUGUCAGUUUUCUUGAUGUGCACAAAAAAGAAAUCAUACUUAUCCCAAUUUUGUUCCAACAUGGUGAUUUCUUCUUCCAUCGAAGCAGCCGGUGGCAUCACGGUCAUGCCGACCACCUUUGAGACGCCGCGGUACAUCGGGUACAUCGCGAUGGCCAGAGCGUUCACGCCCCAAACAUCAUUAAAGCGUGGCCAUUUUGGCAUUGCGGCAAAACCCCGCAGCACAAAGGAAUUGGCGGGAGGGC